AGUGAACGCUGGCGGUAGGCCUAACACAUGCAAGUCGAACGGCAGCACAGUAAGAGCUUGCUCUUACGGGUGGCGAGUGGCGGACGGGUGAGGAAUACAUCGGAAUCUACUUUUUCGUGGGGGAUAACGUAGGGAAACUUACGCUAAUACCGCAUACGACCUACGGGUGAAAGCAGGGGAUCUUCGGACCUUGCGCGAUCGAAUGAGCCGAUGUCGGAUUAGCUAGUUGGCGGGGUAAAGGCCCACCAAGGCGACGAUCCGUAGCUGGUCUGAGAGGAUGAUCAGCCACACUGGAACUGAGACACGGUCCAGACUCCUACGGGAGGCAGCAGUGGGGAAUAUUGGACAAUGGGCGCAAGCCUGAUCCAGCCAUACCGCGUGGGUGAAGAAGGCCUUCGGGUUGUAAAGCCCUUUUGUUGGGAAGGAAAGGCAGCAGGUUAAUACCCCGCUGUUCUGACGGUACCCAAAGAAUAAGCACCGGCUAACUUCGUG
RNAcentral lists this ribosomal RNA (492 nucleotides) under uncultured bacterium. Its description in RNAcentral is "partial 16S ribosomal RNA". It matches the Rfam family "Bacterial small subunit ribosomal RNA", at positions 29 to 507 of the family's 1533-position model. The record is from RNAcentral.